Non-coding RNA from Misgurnus anguillicaudatus (oriental weatherfish), 767 nucleotides. The record is from RefSeq and is a predicted model, not a curated record. NCBI's taxonomy places the organism in Eukaryota, Metazoa, Chordata, Actinopteri, Cypriniformes, Cobitidae.
UUUGAGCAAAGUCAAGAGUCACGUGACGCAGAUCGGGAGCCUGCGCAGCAGCCAUUUUAAACGGUGGUGUUACUGUUAAGACCUCUUCAGGAAUUAAGGUAAGUAAAAUUACAUUCUACAUUUAAAUGUUACGUGUCAUAAAGUCCGUUCAUGGAAGGGAACUUCGUUGCCUUUAUAGUUUGUUUCCGACGGACCAUUAAACAGUUGCCACUGACCUGAGAGCUGUGACAGACAGCUGAGCUCUCUGAUAUCGUUCAUGUUGUGCGUUCAUGUCAAAUAUAGGGGGCGCAGCAGAUGACACUCCAUUUGAGGCUGAAAUAGUUCUGGAAUGGUGUUCAGGUUCUGUGAGGAUUGUCCAGUCUCACCAAAGCGUGCAUUUCCUUGUUUGGCCGAAUAUAUUGUCUUGAUCUUAAGACUUGGGUACACUUUUAAAUUCUUUAAAAAAUACUGCUGCACUUAGACAGUGCAAAACUGUCUCAGAAGAUUUUAACAUUAAAAAAUAAACUGAGUGUUGACUUAAUUUUCUACACACAUUCAUACACCACACUCAGACACACGUGUACAACACAAAUUUAGUAGCAUGUUAAUUAAUGUUAUUGUUACAACAUUUACUUGUUGUUUACUUAUUUUCAAAUGAAUGUCUUGCCCUGUUAGCAACAUACGGCAUACAACAAUAGACAUUACAUGCUGAUUCAUGUUAUUGUUAUGAAAUGUCUUGUUUAAUUUUUUAUGAAUUUUUAUGCCUUGUAGCAACAUAUUAUGCACUA